CCUGGCGGCACUAGCGCGGUGGUCCCACCUGACCCCAUGCCGAACUCAGAAGUGAAACGCCGUAGCGCCGAUGGUAGUGUGGGGUCUCCCCAUGCGAGAAUAGGGAACUGCCAGGC
RNAcentral lists this ribosomal RNA (116 nucleotides) under Salmonella enterica subsp. enterica serovar Derby. Lineage: Bacteria; Pseudomonadati; Pseudomonadota; Gammaproteobacteria; Enterobacterales; Enterobacteriaceae. The record is from RNAcentral. RNAcentral also lists the same sequence under 2 other names.